UACGGAAGGCAGCAGUGGGGAAUAUUGCACAAUGGGCGCAAGCCUGAUGCAGCCAUGCCGCGUGUAUGAAGAAGGCCUUCGGGUUGUAAAGUACUUUCAGUCGUGAGGAAGGUGUUAAGGUUAAUAACCUUAGCAAUUGACGUUAGCGACAGAAGAAGCACCGGCUAACUCCGUGCCAGCAGCCGCGGUAAUACGGAGGGUGCGAGCGUUAAUCGGAAUUACUGGGCGUAAAGGGCACGCAGGCGGUUAAUUAAGUUGGAUGUGAAAUCCCCGGGCUUAACCUGGGAAUGGCAUUCAAGACUGGUUAGCUAGAGUCUUGUAGAGGGGGUAGAAUUCCAUGUGUAGCGGUGAAAUGUGUAGAGAUGUGGAGGAAUACCGGUGGCGAAGGCGGCCCCUGGACAAAGACUGACGCUCAUGUGCGAAAGCGUGGGGAGCAAAC
This 439-nucleotide ribosomal RNA is filed under the name uncultured bacterium. RNAcentral's name for it is "bacterial SSU rRNA". It matches the Rfam family "Bacterial small subunit ribosomal RNA", at positions 340 to 773 of the family's 1533-position model. The record is from RNAcentral.